CGCGUUGAAUUGGCAUCAUUCAACAACUUUUCUCGUUGUUGCUCCAUCAACGUCA
Molecule: transfer RNA, 55 nt
Filed under: Boodlea composita
Lineage: Eukaryota; Viridiplantae; Chlorophyta; Ulvophyceae; Cladophorales; Boodleaceae
Description: tRNA-Glu
Source: RNAcentral